CAUUAGAGUUUGAUCCUGGCUCAAGAUAAACGCUGGCGGCGUGCCUAGCCUAUGCAAGUCGAACGAGGCUUCGAGCCGAGUGGCGGACGAGUGAGUAACACGUACCUUACCUACCCAUAAGUGGGGAAUAAUUCGUCGAAAGACAGGCUAAUACCGCAUAAGCUCACGAGCUGGAGAGGCUUGAGAGAAAAGGGCUUCGGUCACUUUGAGAUGAGGCUGCGGCCCAUCAGCUAGUUGGCGUGGUAAAAGCACACCAAGGCGACGACGGGGAAGGGACCUGAGAGGGUGACCCCCCACACUGGGACUGAGACACGGCCCAGACUCCUACGGGAGGCANCAGGGAGGAAUAUUGCAGAAUGGGCGAAAGCCUGAUGGAGCGACGCCGCGUGGGUGAAGAAGGUUUUCGGAUCGUAAAACCCUUUUCUGUGUAACGAGAACGGACGGUAGCGCAGGAAUUAGUCUCGGCUAACUACGUGCCAGCAGCGCGCGUAAAACGUAGGAGACCAACGUUAUCCCCGAUUACUGCGCGUGAAGGGCGUGUGGGUGGGUUACGUCAGGCCGGCAUUCACUUUCCUCGGCUUAGCGCGAGGUAAUUUCACCCCAGCGUGCCUCCCUAAGCGCACGGGCCCGGCUUCUGUGUGGCCCGCCGCUGCCGGCGCCACCGGCCGGAGAAGUGCUCACGCACGCCGGCGUCCGGAUGGGCGGGGGCUGGCCUCGGGUCGCAGCGGCCCGCCGGCGCGUGCGGUUGAUCUCAGCCGCGGCGCCCCCGAGUCUNCGCGCGCCUGCCGUCUGUUUUGCUACUCUUUUACGUCUCCUGGCAUUGCUCACGAUACUGUUGGCUGGAC
This 845-nucleotide ribosomal RNA is filed under the name uncultured Chloroflexota bacterium. Its description in RNAcentral is "bacterial SSU rRNA". The stretch from base 6 to 515 matches the Rfam family "Bacterial small subunit ribosomal RNA", at positions 9 to 546 of the family's 1533-position model. The record is from RNAcentral. Lineage: Bacteria; Bacillati; Chloroflexota.